AGAGGGAACAUGUACGCACAUGAUGUUAUAUAAAGGCAAUAAGUGUACCAAGGAAGACCAAGAAAUGAAUUUUGAUGGAAAAAUUCUGAGAAGUUUGCUGCAGCUUCAUAGGUCAAAGUAAGUUAGGGGAAAUGACUUGAAAGAGGAGGAAAGAUGAUGCAGAUACAGGGU
Eubalaena glacialis (North Atlantic right whale) is the source of this 171-nucleotide long non-coding RNA. RefSeq lists it as uncharacterized. Lineage: Eukaryota; Metazoa; Chordata; Mammalia; Artiodactyla; Balaenidae. The record is from RefSeq and is a predicted model, not a curated record. The transcript has 3 exons.